GUAUAAUUUCUACACAUUGGUGGCC
Molecule: non-coding RNA, 25 nt
Filed under: Mus musculus (house mouse)
Lineage: Eukaryota; Metazoa; Chordata; Mammalia; Rodentia; Muridae
Source: RNAcentral